UUAAAAAAUAAAACUUUAAAAAUGAAAUUGGAAUGAUAUAGAGAAGAUUAGCAUGAUCCUUGCACAAGGAUGACAUGCAAAUUCCUUACAUAUUCUGCAUUUUU
This is a small nuclear RNA of Gracilinanus agilis (Agile Gracile Mouse Opossum), 104 nucleotides long. Lineage: Eukaryota; Metazoa; Chordata; Mammalia; Didelphimorphia; Didelphidae. The record is from RefSeq and is a predicted model, not a curated record.